RNAcentral lists this ribosomal RNA (1945 nucleotides) under Bacillus pumilus. RNAcentral's name for it is "partial 23S ribosomal RNA". It matches the Rfam family "Bacterial large subunit ribosomal RNA", at positions 480 to 2425 of the family's 2925-position model. Lineage: Bacteria; Bacillati; Bacillota; Bacilli; Caryophanales; Bacillaceae. The record is from RNAcentral.
GUGACCGAUAGUGAACCAGUACCGUGAGGGAAAGGUGAAAAGCACCCCGGAAGGGGAGUGAAAUAGAUCCUGAAACCGUGUGCCUACAAGUAGUCAGAGCCCGUUAAAGGGUGAUGGCGUGCCUUUUGUAGAAUGAACCGGCGAGUUACGAUCCCGUGCAAGGUUAAGCAGAAGAUGCGGAGCCGCAGCGAAAGCGAGUCUGAAUAGGGCGCAUGAGUACGUGGUCGUAGACCCGAAACCAGGUGAUCUACCCAUGUCCAGGGUGAAGUUCAGGUAACACUGAAUGGAGGCCCGAACCCACGCACGUUGAAAAGUGCGGGGAUGAGGUGUGGGUAGGGGUGAAAUGCCAAUCGAACCUGGAGAUAGCUGGUUCUCUCCGAAAUAGCUUUAGGGCUAGCCUCAAGGUAAGAGUCUCGGAGGUAGAGCACUGAUUGGACUAGGGGCCCCUACCGGGUUACCGAAUUCAGUCAAACUCCGAAUGCCGAUGACUUAUCCUUGGGAGUCAGACUGCGAGUGAUAAGAUCCGUAGUCGAAAGGGAAACAGCCCAGACCGCCAGCUAAGGUCCCAAAGUAUACGUUAAGUGGAAAAGGAUGUGGAGUUGCUUAGACAACCAGGAUGUUGGCUUAGAAGCAGCCACCAUUUAAAGAGUGCGUAAUAGCUCACUGGUCGAGUGACUCUGCGCCGAAAAUGUACCGGGGCUAAACGUAUCACCGAAGCUGCGGACUGUUCUAACGAACAGUGGUAGGAGAGCGUUCUAAGUGCUGUGAAGUCAGACCGGAAGGACUGGUGGAGCGCUUAGAAGUGAGAAUGCCGGUAUGAGUAGCGAAAGACGGGUGAGAAUCCCGUCCACCGAAUGCCUAAGGUUUCCUGAGGAAGGCUCGUCCGCUCAGGGUUAGUCGGGACCUAAGCCGAGGCCGAAAGGCGUAGGCGAUGGACAACAGGUUGAUAUUCCUGUACCACCUCCUCACCAUUUGAGCAAUGGGGGGACGCAGGAGGAUAGGGUAAGCGCGGUAUUGGAUAUCCGCGUCCAAGCAGUUAGGCUGGGAAAUAGGCAAAUCCGUUUCCCGUGAAGGCUGAGCUGUGAUGGCGAGCGAAAUUUAGUAGCGAAGUUCCUGAUUCCACACUGCCAAGAAAAGCCUCUAGCGAGGUGAGAGGUGCCCGUACCGCAAACCGACACAGGUAGGCGAGGAGAGAAUCCUAAGGUGAUCGAGAGAACUCUCGUUAAGGAACUCGGCAAAAUGACCCCGUAACUUCGGGAGAAGGGGUGCUUCUUAGGGUGUUAAAGCCCCGAGAAGCCGCAGUGAAUAGGCCCAGGCGACUGUUUAGCAAAAACACAGGUCUCUGCGAAGCCGUAAGGCGAAGUAUAGGGGCUGACGCCUGCCCGGUGCUGGAAGGUUAAGAGGAGCGCUUAGCGUAAGCGAAGGUGCGAAUUGAAGCCCCAGUAAACGGCGGCCGUAACUAUAACGGUCCUAAGGUAGCGAAAUUCCUUGUCGGGUAAGUUCCGACCCGCACGAAAGGCGCAACGAUCUGGGCACUGUCUCAACGAGAGACUCGGUGAAAUUAUAGUACCUGUGAAGAUGCAGGUUACCCGCGACAGGACGGAAAGACCCCGUGGAGCUUUACUGCAGCCUGAUAUUGAAUGUUGGUACAGCUUGUACAGGAUAGGUAGGAGCCUUGGAAACCGGAGCGCUAGCUUCGGUGGAGGCAUCGGUGGGAUACUACCCUGGCUGUAUUGACCUUCUAACCCGCUGCCCUUAUCGGGCAGGGAGACAGUGUCAGGUGGGCAGUUUGACUGGGGCGGUCGCCUCCUAAAAUGUAACGGAGGCGCCCAAAGGUUCCCUCAGAAUGGUUGGAAAUCAUUCGCAGAGUGUAAAGGCACAAGGGAGCUUGACUGCGAGACCUACAAGUCGAGCAGGGACGAAAGUCGGGCUUAGUGAUCCGGUG